UCACUUACGAAACCAUAAGUCUUGUGUC
This 28-nucleotide non-coding RNA is filed under the name Mus musculus (house mouse). Lineage: Eukaryota; Metazoa; Chordata; Mammalia; Rodentia; Muridae. The record is from RNAcentral.